GAAGGUGAUGAUUCUACAUGUCGCCCCAGUCUUACUUGCGUCCUCUAUUGGGCGCCCAUGGUGAACGACAAUUCCCUCUGAUC
Molecule: small nucleolar RNA, 83 nt
Organism: Nymphaea colorata (pocket water lily)
Lineage: Eukaryota; Viridiplantae; Streptophyta; Magnoliopsida; Nymphaeales; Nymphaeaceae
Product: small nucleolar RNA U31b
Exons: 1
Source: RefSeq, a predicted model, not a curated record